Molecule: long non-coding RNA, 366 nt
Organism: Astatotilapia calliptera (eastern happy)
Lineage: Eukaryota; Metazoa; Chordata; Actinopteri; Cichliformes; Cichlidae
Source: Ensembl
UCUGACUGGUCGGAGUACAUGGAGUUACAGGAUAUGUUUGCUGUAAACGUGUGAAUCAAUAGCAAAGUGAGGAUCGUUGUGAAGAUGCAAAGAAUGGAGCGACAAAGAUGAGAGACAUGAAAGUGCCCCUAUUUGUCCUGUGGAAGUCAAAAUACAUCCACUUACCCGUGUUCCCACUCCCAACAGCUAGACCUUGGACCACUACAUCCGAUCUCUCGGAGACUUGAGGUUGAAGAUUCACAGCUGCCUCCAAAGAGGCGAGAUUGUCUAAAGAGAAGAUGCUCCACUGAGUUGUCUGCGACAAUGGUCAGAACCUGGAUAGUGCAUCAUGAUGGAGGUGUUUAAUACAACAGAACUGAACAUGGC